This is a long non-coding RNA of Bubalus bubalis (water buffalo), 620 nucleotides long. RefSeq lists it as uncharacterized. The transcript has 2 exons. NCBI's taxonomy places the organism in Eukaryota, Metazoa, Chordata, Mammalia, Artiodactyla, Bovidae. The record is from RefSeq and is a predicted model, not a curated record.
GAAAACAGGCCUAGAGAGGAGAAAUGACAACAAAGCUGUAGCAAAGCUGCCCUGGUUGACCUACAAAUCCAGCAUUGAGAAAUACACGAUCUCUGCUUAAACGCCACCUCUUUGGAGCUGGCAGGAGCCUGGUGUGCACCACGCCAGUCGAGUUCAGCAACAGGUUCAAGAGUUCCUCUGUGACCAGAAGAACAGUGAUCAAGACAACCUGCCAGAAAAACUUGCAGCCUUUAAAGAGAAGUACAUGGAGCCUGACCUCAACAAUGAGGGCGAGACCGACCAUCUGAUGUCUUUAAAGAGGAUGGAAGCUUGGGGUGGACCCAAGAUCCACCUGGAAAUGAAGACUAUGAUCUCAGAGGUGACAGGCAGGGUCGGCCACACCAUCUCUUGCUGAUACUUCGUGAACAUGAGACUGUCAUGAUGUUUGAAGGAAAAGCCAAUGAGAGAAGCCCCAAGCCCGCUGGCCCCUCCAGAGAGAGACACUGCCAGUCUGCCUUGAGGACCCGCCUGGACCUGCCUCCCCCUCCUUCCUCCCCUCCCCAUCUCACUGCCGUUCUUGACUCAUUGUGAUGUCUUAUUCAAUUUUUUUUUAUUUUAAAAAUAAAUGCCACCUCUUCCAG